This 1710-nucleotide ribosomal RNA is filed under the name Harringtonia lauricola. Its description in RNAcentral is "SSU rRNA". It matches the Rfam family "Eukaryotic small subunit ribosomal RNA". The record is from RNAcentral. Lineage: Eukaryota; Fungi; Ascomycota; Sordariomycetes; Ophiostomatales; Ophiostomataceae.
AUUGUACCGCGAAACUGCGAAUGGCUCAUUAAAUCAGUUAUCGUCUAUUUGAUAGUACCUUACUACUUGGAUAACCGUGGUAAUUCUAGAGCUAAUACAUGCUGAAAACCCCGACUUCGGAAGGGAUGUAUUUAUUAGAUUAAAAACCAAUGCCCUCCGGGGCUCCCUGGUGAUUCAUGAUAACUUCUCGAAUCGCACGGCCUUGCGCCGGCGAUGGUUCAUUCAAAUUUCUGCCCUAUCAACUUUCGACGGCUGGGUCUUGGCCAGCCAUGGUGACAACGGGUAACGGAGGGUUAGGGCUCGACCCCGGAGAAGGAGCCUGAGAAACGGCUACUACAUCUAAGGAAGGCAGCAGGCGCGCAAAUUACCCAAUCCCGACGCGGGGAGGUAGUGACAAUAAAUACUGAUACAGGGCUCUUUAGGGUCGUGUAAUUGGAAUGAGUACAGUUUAAUUCCCUUAACGAGGAACAAUUGGAGGGCAAGUCUGGUGCCAGCAGCCGCGGUAAUUCCAGCUCCAAUAGCGUAUAUUAAAGUUGUUGCAGUUAAAAAGCUCGUAGUUGAACCUUGGGCCUGGCUGGCCGGUCCGCCUCACCGCGUGCACUGGUCCGGCCGGGCCUUUCCCUCUGGGGAGCCGCAUGCCCUUCACUGGGCGUGCCGGGGAACCAGGACGUUUACUUUGAAAAAAUUAGAGUGUUCAAAGCAGGCUUAUGCUCGGAUACAUUAGCAUGGAAUAAUGGAAUAGGACGUGCGGUUCUAUUUUGUUGGUUUCUAGGACCGCCGUAAUGAUUAAUAGGGACAGUCGGGGGCAUCAGUAUUCAAUUGUCAGAGGUGAAAUUCUUGGAUUUAUUGAAGACUAACUACUGCGAAAGCAUUUGCCAAGGAUGUUUUCAUUAAUCAGGAACGAAAGUUAGGGGAUCGAAGACGAUCAGAUACCGUCGUAGUCUUAACCAUAAACUAUGCCGACUAGGGAUCGGACGCUGUUGUCUUUUGACGCGUUCGGCACCUUACACGAAAGUACAAGUUUCUGGGUUCUGGGGGGAGNAUGGUCGCAAGGCUGAAACUUAAAGGAAUUGACGGAAGGGCACCACCAGGGGUGGAACCUGCAGCUUAAUUUGACUCAACACGGGGAAACUCACCAGACACGAUGAGGAUUGACAGAUUGAGAGCUCUUUCUUGAUUUCGUGGGUGGUGGUGCAUGGCCGUUCUUAGUUGGUGGAGUGAUUUGUCUGCCUAAUCGCGAUAACGAACGAGACCUUAACCUGCUAAAUAGCCCGCGCUGCUUGGGCAGCGCGCCGGCUUCUUAGAGGGACUAUCGGCUCAAGCCGAUGGAAGUUUGAGGCAAUAACAGGUCUGUGAUGCCCUUAGAUGUCCUGGGCCGCACGCGCGUGGCACUGACGGAGCCAGCGAGUUCUUCCUUGGCCGAAAGGCCUGGGUAAUCUUGGGAAACUCCGUCGUGCUGGGGAUAGAGCAUUGCAAUUAUUGCUCUUCAACGAGGAAUCCCUAGUAAGCGCAAGUCAUCAACUUGCGUUGAUUACGUCCCUGCCCUUUGUACACACCGCCCGUCGCUACUACCGAUUGAAUGACUCAGUGAGGCUUCCGGACUGGCCCAGCAGGGCGGGCAACCGCCCCGCCGGGCCGGAAAGUUAUCCAAACUCGGUCAUUUAGAGGAAGUAAAAGUCGUAACAAGGUCUCCGUAGGUGAACCUGCGGA